AGCGAACGCUGGCGGCAGGCCUAACACAUGCAAGUCGAACGCAUGCCUUGGGGCAUGAGUGGCAGGGGGGUGAGUAACGCGGGGGAACCUACCCCUUGGUGCGGGAUAGCUCCGGGAAACUGGCGAUAAUACCGUAUGUGUCCCGGGGGACAAAGAUUCAGCGCCAAGGGAUGGGCCCGCGUCGGAUUAGCUAUUUGGUGGGGUAACGGCCUACCAAGGCGACGAUCCGUAGCUGGUCUAAGAGGAUGAUCAGCCACAUUGGGACUGAGACACGGCCCAAACUCCUACGGGAAGCAGCAGUGGGGAAUAUUGCACAAUGGGCGAAAGCCUGACCCAGCCAUGCCGCGUGAGUGAUGAAGGUCUUAGGGUUGUAAAGCUCUUUCACCGGUGACGAUAAUGACGGUACCCGGAGAAGAAGCCCCGGCUAACUUCGUG
This 435-nucleotide ribosomal RNA is filed under the name uncultured bacterium. Its description in RNAcentral is "partial 16S ribosomal RNA". It matches the Rfam family "Bacterial small subunit ribosomal RNA", at positions 29 to 507 of the family's 1533-position model. The record is from RNAcentral.